GGGCUUCAUCACCUCACCUCUCUUUACACAUUGAAGAUCAAGAGUUGCCCUAAAGUUGAGUUCAUAUCAGAACAGGUGCUGCCCUCCUCCCGUGAAUACCAGGGGCUUCAUCACCUUACUUCUCUUACAAAUUUGAGUAUCAAGAGUUACCCUAAACUUGAGUCCAUAUCAGAACGGGCGCUGCCCUCCUCCCUUGAAUACCUUCAUCUCUGUAAACUGGAAUCUCUGGACUACAUUGGGCUUCAGCACCUCACCUCUCUUCACAAAUUGAAGAUCGGGAGUUGUCCUAAACUUGAAUCGUUGCAGUGGCUGCCUUCCUCCCUUGAAUUCCUUCAGUUAUGGGAUCAGCAAGACCGGGACUACAAGGAGCUUCGGCACCUCACCUCUCUUCGCAAAAUGCAGAUAAGGAGGAGCCUUAAGCUUGAGUCCUUUCAAGAAGGCACACUUCCCUCCUCCCUUGAAGACCUUGAAAUCUGGGAUUUGGAAGAUCUGGAAUUUAAGGGGUUUCGGCACCUCACCUCUCUUCGUGAAUUACAUAUCUGUAGUUCUCCUAAGCUCGAGUCCGUGCCAGGAGAGAAGCUGCCCUCCUCCCUUGUAUCUCUUCAAAUAUCAGGUCUGAUAAAUCUGAAAUCUGUAAUGGGGCUUCAGCACCUCACCUCUCUUCGCAAAUUGAUUAUCUCGGAUUGUCCUCAGCUCGAGUCCGUGCCAAGAGAAUGGCUGCCCCUUUUCCGAUAUGAUGAUAUUAGACGUUGUCCUAAACUUAAUUUGGUUAUAGGAGACGGUCUCACUAUACCAUUUUCCUAGUUUUGUACCCGCGCUCCGCGGCCGAGCGGUUAUUUCUUUUAAGUAAACAAAAAUUAAUAAAUAGGUUUUACAACGCAUUCUUUAAUAUACAAUAUUUUUCUAUCAUAAAUAGAAAUGUCUAUAUAUAUAUUUAGUAAUUAGAUCAAUAGUUGAUAAAGAGAUAAUUAAGAAUAAAAUAUUUAAUCUUACAAUAUAAAUAAUUAAUAUAUUUAGUUAUGUUUAACAAUUAUAUUUUCUAAAGUUUUUUUUAUAUAUAAAACAAUUAUAUGUGCCAAUAAAAGGUUAAAAAAAAAUCAUAUCCAAUGUAAAAUGAAGAAAAUUAAAAAAAAAAUAUGUCAAACUGUAUAAAUAUGGUAACAUUGUGACAAUAGACACAUGAUUGAGAUAAUUUUAUAUAAAGAAAAAUGAAAUAAAAAGCACAAAUACCAAUUCUAAAAAAGUUAAAUGUUGAAGGAUGAAAUUGAAAAAACACAAGGAUAUUUGAUUUCGCAACAUGGUUCAUGCACUAAGCCGUGUUUAAUAGCUUUGUUUUUUAGAAUAUAUUUUUUAUUUAAUCAAACAAUUAUCUAUGCAAAUAAAAGAUAAAAAAAAAUCACAAAUAAAAGCAAAUUGAAUCAAAUCAUGAAGUCAAUUAUAAAAUAACUCAAUGUUGAAUGAUGAAAUUAAAAAAAUAAUAAUUAAGAAAAACAAAAAAAAUAUGGGUCAACCCUUAUUAAUCCGUUAACAUUGCGACCAUUGGUACAUAAUUGUGAUAAUCCCAUAAAAAAUAUGAAGACCAACUUUUAGAAAAAUUAAAUGUUGAAGGAUGAAAUUAAUAUAUAUAUAUAUAUAUAUAUAUAUAUAUAUAUUAAAAAAUGACUAAAAAAACUACUAGAGUCAACCCAUGUUAACAUUUGAAAUUUGUAAUUGUGAUCUUGAGACCAAGACUACUCACGCAUCAGUCAAACCCAAAAAAACAACAAAGUAAAUUUCUCAAUAAAAAAAUGUUGAGGCAUGAAAAUUUCAAUAAAAAAACAACAUGAAAAAAAUAUGAAUAAACCAGGGUUAACUCGCUAACCUCACGACCAUGGAAACAUGAUCAGGAUAACCCUAAUGAAAAGAAAGUGAUAAAGAAAAGCACAAAGAAUAACACUAAAAAAAAUAAAAGUUGAGGGGUGAAAUUAAAAAAACAAAAAAAACCAAAGUCAACCGUUGUUAACUUUCAAAACUCAUGAUUAUGCUGUUGGGACUGACCAUAUAAAAGGCAAACCCAAAACAAAACAAUAUAGCAAAAUUCUCAGUGAAAAAAAGUUGAGGCUUGAAACUCAGUAAAAAAAAGCAACAAAAAAUAUAUGAGUCAACCCAAGUCACCCAUUUGACUAUGGGCAUGUGAUUUAGAUAAUCUUAUGGAAAGGAAAGCAAAAAAAAAAAAACAAUAAAACCAAUUUUAUAAAAAUUAAAUAUUGAAGAAUAAAAUUAAAAAAAUUAAUUUUAUAAAAAAGACUUGAAGAAACCAAAAUCAACCCGUGCAAACCUUUAAAAGUCAUGAUUCAAUAAUAAUAAAAAAAAAGAAGCUAAGUGAUGAAAUCAUUAAAAAAACAAUAAAAAAAAAUUAUUCAAAACAUAAUAAACAUAAGUAAAAAAAGAAUAGAGAUCAAAUUCAACACUAAAAAAAUAAAAAUCAAAUAAUGAGAAAUAAAAUCAAAACAAUAUCUAAUUAGAUUAAGGAUUAAAAAGUGUCAAAAAAAAGUGUCAAAUUUGAUCUAAAAAUAAAAUAAAGUAAAAUAAUUAGAGAUAAAUAGUAAUAAAUACUAUUUUUAUAAAAUAAAAAGAAAAAAAUAAAAAAAAAAAUAAAAAUCAAAACACAAUAUAUAACAAAAAAAAAGUAAUAUAAAUGUUUAUGUCACAUAACAACCAUUGGUUCCAAACAAAACCUGAAAAUAAAAAAACAAGACACCUGCCGUCAUUAGGUCCGGAUUUGCCUGAAAGGCAGAACUGCACAUGCAUUUUCCAUAGCAUGCCAAAGCCAAAUCAAUCUUACCCAUAGCGAGAAUUAAAACAAAACAAAAUAGUAACAACACCAAAAACAUCCUUUAUUCAUUGUUAAAGGUCUUCUGAAAUAAGAUUGGUUUCAAUGGCAAGUGGAAAUCAUAAAGAGAGCAACGAAAGGACAAAAAUCGAUCAAAAAACCCUUACUGAAAGAAUAAACAACACACCUUCGCCUCGUGUGUUCUCCAUCAAUUUGUUCAAGAGAAAAAGGACAAGAACUGUAGUAUCACCACCUCCAUCCUCUCUCAGUAGCUUCUUCUUCUCCAAUGUGCAUACCUUUUUGGUUCUCACAUGCCUCCUCUCCCUCUUCUGAAUCAUGACUACAAUUGAAGAAAACAACUCUAAUCCCACCUAAGAACAAUGCUCUAAUAUCAAAUUUGAUACGAGACAAAAAAGAUUGAAGUUGAAGAAGAAAGAAAAGAAGAAGAAGCCCGAAAAAGAAGAAAAAGCUGAUCAAAUACUAAAACCAUAACUAGAAUAAAUAAUUAAGUUUAUAAUCCACUAAAUAAAAUACUAAAAAAUAAUUAAAUCAAAUCCAACAAAUAAUAUCUAAUUAAUAAAUUUCAACUAAAAGUUCAAAUAAAUAAAAUUAAAACAUAAGCUAAAGCUUAAUCGCUUAAUGAUUUGGACUACCCUCUAUCAUUUAUGAUUAUAUGAAUACAUGUUUCGAGUCAGUAUCCCCACAUUUUUUUUGUUUUUGGUGGAAACAAAAAGAGGUGCAUAUGUUUUUGUUAGGAAAAAAAUUUCUUGCCCUAAAAUAAGAAAAAAAAGUUGCACCUAGAGGUGAUCAUUUUCGGUUCGGUUCAGUUUUUAUCAAAAAAGUAACCAAAUGUACUACAUACUUUUUACCGAUCGAACCAAAUGUACUAUAUUAUCAGUAGUUGUAGCUACUUCUGAAACAGUUGGUGCGAUGGGUGCGAGUGAAGGUGCUGGCAUAGGAGCGGCAACACUAGUCAUACCUUCCACUACUGCUUUGAGUAGCUGGGCUAGGAGCAUCAAAUCAACAUAAGAAACAAAUGGCCUUCCAAGUGUAGUCUGUGGGGGCUCCUCUGCUCGUUCCGGUAGGGUUGACACGGUCGGCUGAACAUCCCCAGCUUGCCUCGGUACUUGUCUGACUUGAGGCCCCGUCGAUUCUUCAUGCCUUGCUUGCUUCGAUACUGCUGGUGCAUGUCAAGCAGUAUCUUCUAAAAGGCUCUCUUCUCGUCCCUCGUAAAAGUCUAUAUCUCUGUUCCCCUUCCCUAUAGAGGAUAGAUUUGUUCUAAUCUCUUGGCGAGUACGUACCAUCCUGCAAUAAAUUAAUAACAUCAUUACCCUUUGUUUCGAGUUUUUCCCAAAAUCCAUACGAGGGCUCUAAUACCAACUAUAACAAUCCCACCUUUUCAAUUUCGUCAACACUAAAAGAUCCCAAUAUAUACUCUUAAUUUGAGGGUAAAUUGUUUUUUUUCUUAUAUAUAUAUAUAUAUAUAUAUGAAAGUCUACCGAUAUUUUCACUGAAAUUUUGGCAAAGUUCCCUUUGUAUUUAGAACGUCCCAAGUUAUCGACUUCUUUCAAUUUACCCAUUCAAGCCAUCAAAACAAGGUCCCAUAAUUUUGAACUUUAUUUUACAUCAUUAAUACUCAACUCCUCAUACAAUUCAUGCACACAAUUUAUACACACACACACACACACACACACACCCUACGAAUAAGAUCAAUAUAAAUAUAGCCCAUAUAUCGUAUAAUAAAGUCUAGAAGAAAAAGGGAUACUAACAUGUAAUGAGAGAAUUUAAAACAUAACAUCAGUAUUCUUAAAAGUUUCAAAGGGUUAAAAACAAAGUAGCUAAGGAGUUCUUACUCAUACAUUAUAUCAAAGUUUACAUAAUUAACAUACUAUAUGCCGAGCCAAUAGUUUUGUAUACAUCAAGGUUUACACAAAAGCAUAUUGCGUAACCUAGCUAAUACUAUUAUGCUUGAGCUAAAUGUUUUUACAUAAGUUUAGCAAAGCAGAGUCCUAAAAACUAAUGAGCUCCCUGAGUAUUAGAUGGACCUGUUACAAUAACAACUUAAUAAGCAUACAAUUAUAUUGUCAACAGAAACAAAAAUGAUCAUAUAAUGAAUACAAAUAAAGCAUAAGUUUUCUAUUAGUUUCCCAAUAAUUUUAAUAAUCAACUUAUAAAUUCUUUCAUAUAUAUUUAAAAACUCAAUUAGACAUCAUUUACGUAUUCUUAAUUGAAUACUCUUAUUUUCUUGUAUGAACCUAGUACCUUUGCCUAAUUGGUUUUACUAAAUCUUUAACUUUGCAUAGUUCCACUUGGAUAGUUUAGGUAAUUAUACUUAUCAAUUCUCUCAGGUCAUCCAAACAUGGAUACCUUUUCCGAAUCGAGCCUUAUCGAUCAUUCCCAGGCAUCCUGACAUGGACGUCAUUAGCUGAAGCGAAUCUUGUAAUUCACUUCCCAGCAAUCCUAUCACGGAUGCCAUUAGCCUAAGAUAAUCUUGAGAUUCAUUUCCCGACAAUCCUAUUACGAAUGCAAUUAGCCGAAGCUAAUCUUGUAAUUCAUUUCCCGGUAAUCCUAUCAUGGAUGCUAUUAGCCGAAGCUAAUCUUGUUAAUACACCGGACUUUGUUUACAUUAAACAUAACUUAAUUGUCAUUGUCUUCAUCGGGAAGACUUUAAAUUACAUAAGAGUAAAGGAGAGGUAAAACCACGCACCUUCUCCGCCUGUCUCGUGACCUCCUUCAACAAAAGAUCCAAUCCUAGUCGCUCCGCCUAAAUCACAAAGAAGUCUUUGGUCAUGUUUCCUUUAAGCUAAAUGUUUAAGGAAAUCCAUAUUCAUUCAUUAUACAUAUGGUACUUUCCAUGCAUGUUCAUUUCCUCAUCAUAACAUACAUAUACAUAUCAAGUAUAUAUUUUCAAGGUUUUAUAUCAACGUGCAAGUGCCCCUACGACUAAGUUUGUUUUUGCAUCAACGUAAAUUAGUGACUUAUGACUCAUAACUGGAGUCUCAUAACUUUAAAUAAAGCAAACUUUGGUCAAUAAAAAGGUAACACAUUUAUCCAUAAUUUCAUUAAGGAUCAUGCAUGAAACUCUGUCAAUAUCAAAUCACAAACCAAAAAAGAAGUUAGACAGCAAAUUUGUCCAGCAGCUUCUAGCCUAACCUCCUCUCAGUAUUUUGCCUAUAUAUGGAGUUCUAUAACUCCUAAUAAAGUGAACUUUAUACCAAUUAAAAGGUAACACAUUUAUAUAUAACUACAUGGAGGAAAAUGCAUCAUACUCUAUCAAUAUAAAAUCCCAAACCGAACAAGAAGUUAGACAGCAAAUCUGUCCAGCAGCUUCCAGCCUAGCCUCCUCUAAGUAUUUUGCUUAUAUAUGGAGUUCUAUAACUCUAAAUAAAGUGAAAUUUAUGUCAAUUGAAAGGUAACACAUUUAUAAAUAUCCACAUGAAGGAAAAUGCAUGAUACUCUGUCAAUAUCAAAUCCCAAACUAAACAAGAAGUUAGACAGCAAAUCUAUCCAGCAGCUUCCAACCUAACCUUCUCUUAGUAUUUUGCUUGUAUAUGGAGUUUUAUAACUCUAAAUAAAGUGAAAUUUAUGUCAAUUGAAAGGUAAUACAUUUAUAGAUAUCCACAUAAAGGAAAAUGCAUGAUACUCUGUCAAUAUCAAAUCCCAAACUGAACAAGAAGUUAGACAACAAAUCUAUCCAGCAGCUUUCAGCCUAACCUCCACUUAGUAUUUUUCCUGUAUAUAGAGUUCUAUAACUCCAAAUAAAGUGAAAUUUAUGUCAAUUGAAAGGUAACACAUUUAUAGAUAUCCAUAUGAAGGAAAAUGCAUGAUACUCUAUCAAUAUCAAAUCCCAAACUGAACAAGAAGUUAGAUAGAAAAUCUAUCCAGCAGCUUCCAGCCUAACCUCCUUUUAGUAUUUUGCCUGUAUAUGGAGUUCUAUAACUCCAAAUAAAUGAAAUUUAUGUCAAUUGAAAGGUAAGACAUUUAUAGGUAUCCACAUGAAGGAAAAUACAUGAUACCAUGUCAAUAUCAAAUCCCAAACUGAACAAGAAGUUAGACAACAAAUCUAUCCAGUAGCUUCCAGCCUAACCUUGUCUUAGUAUUUUGCCUGUAUAUGGAGUUCUAUAACUCCAAAUAAAGUGAAAUUUAUGUCAAUUGAAAGGUAAUACGUUUAUAGAUAUCCACAUGAAGGAAAAUGCAUGAUACUUUGUCAAUAUCAAAUCCCAAACUGAAUAAAAAGUUAGAUAGAAAAUCUAUCCAGCAGCUUCCAGCCUAACCUCCUCUUAGUAUUUUGCCUGUAUAUGGAGUUCUAUAACUCCAAACAAAGUGAGAUUUAUGUCAAUUGAAAGGUAACACAUUUAUAGAUAUCCACAUGAAGGAAAAUUCAUGAUACUCUGUCAAUAUCAAAUCCCAAACCAAACAAGAAGUUAGACAACAAAUCUGUCCAGCAGCUUAACCUCCUCUCGGUAGUUUGCCUAUAUAUGGAGUUCUAUAAUUCCAAAUGAGGUAAGACCAGUGCCAAAAGUUAGCUAACUCAUUUAUCUACAACUUUCAUAUGUAAUGUUAUAACAAUUUCAAUCGACUUCUAUGCCUAACAUUAGCAUAAUUUCUAUACUUACAUAUUUGUAAUGGAAGUAACAUACAAACAUGUUUAAGUUUCUGUUUCAGCCCUUGAUUUAGCCUUAGGAUAACUAUGUAAGGUCAUAAUUAGCAGAGAUUAGUAUCAAAUUUCUAUUCUCUUUCUUUCUACUUUCAUGGUCGUCCCUAAAGAGGAUUUGUUCCACUAAUUUCUAUCAUUUUCUUUUGUCAUAGAAGCUGAAAAUGUUUAACUUCUCAUCUCAACCUUUUAAUUUCAUCAUUUGUUUUUUUUUUGUCAAAAUCAUGAAGUUCUAGGAACCCUAAAUUAUUUAUAUUGGGGUUUUUUCCCCCUUUGGAUUCAAAACAAAUCAAAUUAACAAUAGAAUAGCAAGGGCUUAUCCUUACCUCACGAUUUUAUCUAAAGAUGGAAGGUGUUUUCUUGAUGGUUUUCUUCUUCUCCUCUUUAUCACUGUUUCAGCCGGCCCUUGUGCCCUCCAAACCUCAAGAUUUUAUGGAUCUACACUUCCUAAUUACUCUCCUCUCUCACGUAGGUUCAUGCAAGGUGUUUUGGGUGAGAAAUGUGUGCAAUAAAAGGGAGCCAAUCUUCUCUCUUCAACUUGUUCUAAUUGAAAGUGAGAGGAAAGGUCAGGAAUUCUUUUUUUUUUUUUAAUGUAUUUAUACUCCCUUAUAUAUGCCUUAGGUCUUGUUUGGUAGUUUGGUCAAAUUUGUUCCUAACAUUACUUUUCUCCUUGUUGUGUGCUUUAGUUCUUCAUUUCACAAUUUGUUUAACAUCUCUCCCUCAUCCUUCCCUUCACACAUUUUAAUCCUUAGACAUUUGUUAGUUUUUAUACCCAUAUUUUUGUAAAAUAUUUGACUUCGUAAUUUAUUUUCUUAUUUUGAAUUCACCCUAUAAGUAUUGAAACAUUUUUAUUUUCUAAAAAUUUCAACUUGGGGUUUACAUAACCUUUAAGAAGAAGUGAAAAGAAAAGGUUGAAGCAGACAUCAUGAUUAUCCAAAAUGCAAUAUUUGAUCCCUGGUCCCAACAACAAAUCCAUAGUUAUCACAAAGAUCUAGUCCAUUUCUUUUGCCUUCCUUCUCUUACUUUUCUAGCUAUUUUUUCCUACUUUCUACUAUCCAUUCUAGAGCUUCAGAUUCUUAUAUUGUACAUAGAAUUUGAGUCUAGUUUUUUAACAGUUCAUAAACCUCGAUCCAUCAUACAAUUUCUCAAGAUGAUGCUGUUAUAAUUUAAAAAAACUAUUUAUAGAAGAUUUAUCUUCAAGGACAAGAGUUGAAUCCUUAAUAGCACAUUUAUACUCCCUACUUUUCAUCUAAAUUUCUUUAACAAGUAAGUCAUAUUUACUUUGUCAUUAUAUUUAUGUCAUCUAGAUUAAUACUAGUUAGAUGGUCUGCGCUAUACCGUGAGCCAACGUUUUAUUUUCAUAAAAAAUAUCAAAAAAAUAUAAGACCCAAGAGCGUUGAGUCUAACUGUAACACUGGAUCUAAAAGCAUUGAGUCUGACUGUAACACUAGAUCUAAAAGUAUUGAGUCUGGUUGCAACACCAAACUCAACAAUAAUAUUUAUAAUAUAAAUAAUAAUAUUUAACUUGUCUGCCUAUAUUGUUAUAUUUUUAAAUCUUUAAAAAAAAAUUAUGAUUUUUCUUCAAUAGUAAUAAUAGUAUUAUUUUAAAUUUAUUAAUAAUAAUGAUAAUAAUAAUAAUAAUAAUUUUUAAUUUUACCUUUUAAAUCAAAUCUAUGGUGGUUUUUCAAUAUUGAUAAUAAUGUUUUUCAAAUUUAUUAAUAAUAUUAAUUAUAAUAAAAAUAAUAACAUUUAUAAUACAAAUAAUAAUAUUUUUAAUAUUAAUACUAUUAAUUAUAAUAAAAAUAAUAAUAUUUAUAACACAAAUAAUAAUAUUUUUAUAAUAAUAUUUUUAAGUAUAAUAAAAAUAACAAUAUUUAUAACACAAAUAAUAAUAUUUAGAAACCUAAAACACAUUAGUGUUGGAACUUGACGCCGGACCCAAGAGAAUUAGAUCCUAACACAGGUCUUAGGAGAAUUGGGUUCUAAAACAAGACCCAUUACCCUUGGAUCCUGAUGCUGGCCCCAAGAGAAUUGGGUUGUAAUGCAAGUGAGUUGGGUCCUAACGCAUGACCCAUCAGCCUUGAGUUUUGAAGCCGAACCCAAGAUAAUUGGGUCCUGAUGCAAUUCCCAAGAGAGUUAGGUCCUGACGUCGGACUGAAGAGAAUUAAGUCCUGACGCAGGACCCACUACUUAUGGGUCCAAACGCUGGAUCCAAGUGUAAACCCCAAUUGAAAAUUAGUCUGAAAAGCAAUUUAAAUGCUUAUAGAAUAGAUUUAUCAGAAGUACCAAAUAAGCAUUAGAACAAACCAUGUAAAAUAAAAAACAGAAAAGUGAAUAAAAUAUUACUAAGAGUGAAUUACCUAGAAAUAAAAUUAUCAAUAUGUAACUAAAUGAAAAUCGAAUUCACCCGGAUAAAAAGUUUAUACAGAGAAAUACUAGGAUCCAAGAAUUUUAUCUCAUGAACAAGAAAUUUACUAUUUAGGAUAUAGAGGGAAUUUGGUAAAAAGUUUAUAUAUAUAUAUAUAUAAGUGUGCAUGUGUGUGGGCAAGAAGAAAAAAGAGAGAAAAAGAAAUAGAGAGAAAUAGGGGAAACUAUCAUUUACAUGUGAGAGAGAAAACAAAAUGAUAAAAACAUAAAAUCUUAAGAGGAGAUCUUGAGGGAACAUUAACCAAACUUAGUGAGCAUUAAUUGGAAGGAAGAAAAACCUAGAAAAAAAGGAGGGAAGUUCAACCAAGAUUAAAGAAAAGAGGAGUUGGAAGCUUGAAUUGGGUAGUGUUUAGAGUCUUAUUAUUUGCUUGGUAGGGCAUUCUAAAGACUUUUAAUUUGAUUUUUAAUGGCUUAAAGUCUUUAAUUGAUUGAAUUUUUGAAAUUUGGAAAGUUAGGGUUCUUGAAUGAAUUUGGAAGAAAUAAAACUUUACUGUAAAUUAUCAUGGGGAAUAAUGUGAAAGUUAGAGUAAAGUAAUUAAAUUAUUGUAGUUGAAGUAAAAAAUUUUGAUAAUUAAAUAGGGCUAGUGGUUAACCAAUGAUGAGAGUUUUUCAAUCUUAUUUUAUGCUACUCUGUUAGUGCUUUAUACUCCAUGAUGUGAAUUGAUGAACAAUGUAGGCAAUAGAACUAUUUUUUUGAAUAUCUCUUUACAACUUCUUAAAUUUCAUGGAGAUGUCUGAUGAGGAAUAUAGUUGAUUGUUGGUCCUUAUUAGAUUUUGUAUGUAAUGGAGUUAUGAGACGUUAAUAAUUCAUUAGAGAUGUUAAUUUGAUGGCUAAAAUCCAUGAAAUUCAACGGGACUAUUACAAAAGGUGAGAUAUUUAAGACAGUAACAAAUCAAACAUUAACAGUUGAGGUUUAAGACAGUAACAGAUCAAAUAGUAACGGUUGAGGUCUAAGACAGUAACAGAUCAAAUAGUAAUAGUUGAGGUCUAAAACAGUAACAGAUCAAACAUUAACAGUUGAGGUCUAAGACAGUAACAGAUCAAAUAGUAAUAGUUGAGAUCUAAAACAGUAACAGAUCAAGCAAUAACAGUUGAGGUGUAAGACAGUAACAGAUCAAGUAGUAAUGGUUGAGGUCUAAGACAGUAACAGAUCAAACAUAUAUAUAUAUAUAUAUAUAUAUAUAUAUAUAUAUAUAUAUAUAUAUAUAUAUGAGAACUGAGUUGUGUGGACACUUGCACGUUGAGAUACUGACUCUGAAAAUAUAUAUGAUAUGUGUAUAUAUGUUAUGAUGAAGAAAUAAACAUGCAUAAAAAGUAACAUAUGUGUAAUGAAUGAAUAUGGAUUCAGGAGGAGUGACCAUGAUUGGAUCUUCUGUUGGGGGAGGUCACGAGACAGGCGAAGCAGGUGCGUGAUUUUCCCUCCUCUUUGCACUUAUGCAAUUUAAAUAUAUUUUUUUGGUGAAUGCAAUUACAAUAAAUGUCAUGUUCAAUGUAAAUAAAAUCUAGCAUAUUUACAAAAUUAGCUUCGGCUAAUAGCAUCUGUGAUAGAAUUGCUAGGAGAUGAACUACAAGAUUAACUUUGACUAAUGUUGUCCGCGUUGGGACGCCCGAGAACGAUUGAUAAGACUCGAUUUGUAAAGGGUAUCCGUGUUUGAAUGAUCUAGGGGAAAUUGAUAAAUAUAAUUGCCUAAAAAUGUCUAAGUUGGACUAUACAAAGUCACCCGGUUCAUGCAAGUAAAUAAGAGUAUUUAAAUUAAGGAUAUGCAAAUGAGUUUUAAUUGGGUUUAAAUGAUUUACAAGCAAAUUAUAAGUUGAUUGUUAGAAUUCCUAUGGAUUCGAUAGAAAAUUUAUACUUCAUUCGUAUACAUUACAUGAUCAUAUAUAUUUCUUUUAUCAACAUAAUGGUAUGCUUACUUAGUUGUUUGUGUAACAUGUCCAUCAACUGUCCAGGGAGAUCAUUAGUUUGGGACUCCACUUUGUUAAGCUUAUGUAAAUAUUUAACUUAAGCAUAAGGGAAUUAACAUGAUUAUACAAUAUGUUUUUGUGUAAAUCUUGAUGUAUAUAUAAAAGUCUUAGCUCAACAUAUAGUACAUUAGUUAUCUUGUAAUUAACUCUUUUGAAAUGUUUAAAAAUACUUAUUAUAUUUUAAAUUUUCUCUUUACAUGUUAGUAUCCCUUUUUCCUUUUAAAUAUUAUAAUAUGAUUUGUGGGAUAUAUAUAUAUAUAUAUAUAUAUAUAUAUAUAUAUAUAUAUAUAUAUAUAUAUAUAUAUAUAUUGUGUGGAUUGUAUGAGGUGUUGAAUAUUGAUGAUUGAAAUAAAGUCUGAAAUUAUAGGACCUUAUGAUGAUGGGUUGAUUGAGUAAAUUGAUAGUAGUCGAUAACUUGGGAUAUCCUAAAUACAAACGAAACUCUACCAAAAUUUUGGUAGAAAUCUUUACAAAAACAAUUACCCUCAAAUUAAGAGCAUAUGAUGGGGUCUUUUAGCGUUGAUCAAAUUGUACAGUUGAGUCUGUUACAGUUGGUAUUAGAGCCCUGGUAUGGAUUCUAGGAAGAAUUCAAAAGAGGUUAUUGAUGUUUGUUAAUUUAUUGCAGGAUGGUACGUACCCACCAAGAGAUUAGAUCAGAUCUAUCUUCAACAGGGAGGGGGAAUAAAGAUAUAGACUUUUACGUUGGGCAAGAAGAGAACCUUUUGAAAGAUACUGCUUCACAUGCACCAGCAGUAUCGACUAAAGCAGGGCAUGAAGAAUCGAUGGGGCCUCAAGUCCGACAGGCACCAAGACAAAGGACCCAUUAGCCUUGGAUCCUAAUGCCGAACUUAAGAGAAUUAGGUUCUGAUAGAGGACCCAUUACAUUUGGGUCCUAACGUCAGAUCCAAGAAAAUUGAGUGUUGACGCAAGACCCAUUAGCUUUGGAUCUUGACACUGAACCAAAGAGAAUUGAGUUCUGACACGGGACCCAUUAGCUUAUGGUUCUAAUGCAGGACUCAAGAGAGUUUGAUCCUAACACCAAAUCCAAGAGAAUUGGGUGUUAACGCCGAAUCCAAGAGAAUUGGGUUAUGACACAGGACUCAUUAGCUUGGGUCUGGACACGGAUACAUUACCAAUGGGUCUAGACGCCGGACACAACAACCUUUGGUACGAUACGAACCCCAGAGUGGGCUAGAUAGGGCUGCAAGACCCAAGUGAUUUGGGUCUGCUCUUUUGCCAAACCCAAGUAACUUGGGUGAGGCACCCCUUUCCAGCCCCAGGAUUUUUAGGUCUGGAAAGGGAUGCCUAACCCAAGUUAAUAACAAUAAUAUUAUAUUUUACCUUUAAAAUCAAAUUUAUGUUUUUUUAUAGUAAUAAUAUUUAUUUUAAUUUUAAUAAUAUUAAUUAAUUGAAUAAUAUUUAUAAUAAUAUUUAACUUAUCUGUCAAAGUUCUUAUAUUUUUUAAUCUCUUAAAAAAAACAUUAUAGUUUUUUUUCGAUGAUAAUAAUAUUUUUUUAAAAUUUACUAAUGAUAACAACAACAACAACAAUAAUAUUUAAUUUUACAUUUUAAAUCAAAUCUAUUAUUAUUUUUUAAUAAUAGUUUUUAUAAAUUUAUUAAUUAUUAUAUUAAUAAUAAUCAAAAUAAUAAGAUGUUAUGUGGGAGGGUCUGCACCCAUCACGGUUCUGGAGACCCAGGUAAUAUCACAUUAAUAGUGAAAGAUCUACUCAACCAUGAUUUUAAAAGUUUUCCUUGACGAACAUGCGACGUUUUUUAGCCAAGAAAAUACGAUGUCGUAGGGCAAUCUUUAAAAAUUAUUUUUAUUUAAUUCUGUGGUAAUUAAGAUAAAUACGUGUAGGAAUUCUGAUAAUUUAAAUUAUGGAGAAUAAACUUAUUCAUUGUUCAAUAAACACUGUGAUUUGUGAGUGUAUGCACAGUGUUGUUUUAUGUACAGAAAGAAAAGGGAGCCAUGUUUUAGUUUAUAGUGUUAGUGUUACUAUUUCAUGAGAAGCUAAUCCUGUAUUAGUUUUUGGUAGUUCAGAAAUUAAUGUGAUUUACUUAGCUAAUCCAGUUCCCAUGAGAAGCAAAAGAUCCUGUAUAAAGUUUUCUAUAAUGACAUUUUGUAUUUAAUUUUUUUGUUUUAAAAGAAGUUAAAUUUUUAUAAUUUUUUUCAAAAUAAUUUUUUAUUUUUUUAUAUUAUUUGAAUAUGCUGAUUUUAAAACUAAAUUCUAAAUAAUAAUAAAAAAUUAUUUAAAUAUAUUUUUAAAAAACAACUGAAUUUUUGCAGAAAACCCAGCUAUAAAUUAACAUCUUUAGCCCGUGACGGUAACCGGCAGUUCUACCCAUGACGGUGGCGGUGAGUCCUCCCAAUUGUACAUGUCGGAUCCUUCUUGCCCGGGACGGUGAUGGGCAAUCCCGCCUGUCAUUUCAGUGUGGCCCCAGGUGAAAUGAUUUUAAAAUAUAAAAAAAUUAGCUUUUAAUAAUUAAAUAAUUUUAAUUUAAAUUGAGGAAAAAAGACUUCUUAACAAAAUAAAACUUACGAUAUUACAGUAACAAACAUGCUAAAAAACAUCUUCUUUUUCAAAGCAUGCAACUACAGGACCAGCCAUAUUAAGCUGCUUGUGAUAUUACUCCUCAUACAACCAAAUCAAUCCAUAACCUACGAGAUUUAUUGCAACUCUUGCUUACUUUUCAAUUCCAUAACCUAUGCUUGCUUUCAAAUAUAUAUAUAUACUAACUUUGAACGACAAACAUGUUUGUAAAUUAAGAGUGAAAGGAAAGUUGAAAAUCACAGGGAGAGCCUUAUAUAUAUAUAUAUAUAUUACUCCUCAUAGAAUUUCAUGAAGCAUUGAGGUUCUGGGCGAGAAGUUGACCACUCCUGAUAUUCUGGGCUUCUUCAAAAGCCACAAGCUCAAUGAUCGAUGGUCUUCUGGGAAAGUUGAAAGAAACACUGAAUACCCUCAACGGACUUCUCGACGACGCGGAGGAGAAGUAGAUUACCAAGCCUGCUGUGCAGAAGUGGCUUAAUGAUGCUAGACAUGCUGUGUAUGAAGCUGAGGACUUAAUGGAGGUGAUUGAAUAUCAACAUCUACGAUCCAAGGAUAUUAAAGCUGCCUCUCGACGAGUUAGGAAUCGGGUAAGCAUAUGGUUUUGCUCUUGUAGACCUUGCUUUCUCGUAUAAUGUUAUUAUCGAUCCCUCUGAUUUUUACAAGCACAAUUCGAAAUUGUAAGAUAUCAGAAAAUUUCAUAUCUUUUCUUGAAAUAUUUCAUGCAAACAACACCCCUCAAUUAUGCUAAUUUAUCUCAUGCAACCAAUCCUAUGAUACUAUCCUGCAACCACUACUCAUUAUUAUUCCAACAAAUUCCAACCACUUUUUAAUAGCCCAGCCUGGCCAAGCUGUCAACUUAAUUAAAACAUGUUCAAUCUAGAAUUUGAAUUAAAUUGUUUUUUUUAAAACAAAAAUCAAAGUUGACCCAUUAAUUUUUAAAAAAACAUUAGCACUAAAUGUUAAAUAUUGGUGUCAUAACACCUUUGAAAAAAAAAUUAGUGGAAUAGCUUAUUUUCACAUUUUUAAUAGCAAUAUUUAGUAAAUAUUAUUUUUUUGAAGUGCAACAAAGUGAAAGUCCAAUUAUUUGACUUAAUUAGUUAGUUGAUUGAAUUUAAUUGUAUUAACUAGUCGAUUAUUUCACAUAAAAACCAUAAUUUUAUGAAUUUUUUCUUUCAAAUAUAAAUUAUGAGUCAAAAUAUACAUGUGUCUAACAUCUAGACUAAAAAAUAGAUUUCAAUUAAAGUUUUAAAAAAAUUAUUAUUUACAUAGUAGUUGUUAUCUAUUUUUCAAUGUCAAUUAAUGAUGUAGAAAAGCUUGUGACAGUAAGUGAUUCUAAGUUGUCAGAUGUUUGUUUAUCAUAACUAUAUAAGGAUUGUCCUAAAUAAAUUAAAUGUAUGACCUAACAAAUAUAUUUAUAGACCAAUAAAAUAGUUUGAAGCUUAAGAGGAGAUUUGAUCCCACAAAGCCAGAAUAAUAAGAAAAAAAACCAUAAUUUUUUAUUUGACUAUUGAAUUGCACUCAAAUUUUUAUAGGAGUUUUUAAAAACCACAUUCUCUAUUGUAGUCACUGCAUUGCUAUGUAGACUGUUAAAUCUUUAGAUAUAAAAAAUCUCGUCAAAACCCCUUGAUUUUGGUAUUUUUAAGAUUUUUAUUAUUAUUUUCGGAAUUAAUUGACUAAUUUCAUUAACUAUUAUGAACAAGUCAAUUAAUUAAGUCAAAUGAUUAAAAUUUUACCUUAUCAGAACCUUAUUAGAAACAUAACAUUUAUUAAAUGUCACUAUUCGAAAAAACGACAAUUAUUUUGUGAUGCUUAGGAAUAGUAACAUUUAAUAAAGUUUCCAUUUCUAAAUCCAGCUAGUAGAAGGAUGAAAGAGAUGGGAGCAGAGUUACAAAAGAUCCAUGAGAAGCUUGAACGUUUUACUUAUACACAAGGGUGAUCUGCGCCAUAUAGAAGUUACUGGUGGACGCAGACCAUUGUCAGAGAAAACAACUCCACUGGUUAAUGAAUCUAAUGUAUAUGGAAGGGACGCUGAUAAGGAAGCCAUAAUGGAGCACUUGUUGACACAACACACCACAGAUGGCUCAAAUUUACGUGCGGUCCCUAUUGUGGGCAUGGGCGGGAUUGGUAAAACCACUCUUGCUCUGCUUAUCUACAAAGACGAAAGGGUACAGCAACGCUUCCAACUCAAGGCCUGGGUCUGGGCUUCUCAACAAUUUGAUGUUGCCAGGAUUAUUAAGGAUAUUCUUGAUCAACGCAAGAACUUGCCGCACCAAAGAACCAGAUGAAUCUCUAAUGGAGGCAGCGAAAGGGAAAAAACUUCUUCUUGUUCUAGAUGACGCGUGGAACAUCGAGUACAAUGAAUGGGAUAAACUACUGCUACCUUUGCGGUAUGUGGAGCAAGGAAGUAAGAUUGUCGUGACAACACGGGAUCAAGAUGUAGCAAAAGUCACGCAAACUGUCAUCACCCCUCACUGCUUGAAAGGAAUAAGCGAUGAAUAUUGCUGGAAGUUGUUUGCAAGGGAUGCAUUUAGUGGUCUAAAUUCUGAAGCAGUCUCACACUUGGAAGCAUUUGGCAGAAAAAUAGUGAGAAAGUGCAAAUGUUUGCCGCUGGCAGCGAAAACUCUUGGUGGUCUUUUGCACUCCGUAGAAGAUGUCAAGCAAUGGGAGAAGAUAUCCAAUAGCAGUUUGUGGGGUUCGUCGAAUGAAAACAUCCCUCCAGCUUUAAAAUUGAGCUAUUAUUAUCUCCCUUCACACCUGAAACGUUGUUUUGCUUAUUGUGCAAUAUUUCUCAAAGGUUAUGUAUUCAAGAAGGAUGGAUUAAUCACUGAAUGGAUGGCACAUGGUUUUUUAUUCCAGCCAGAGGUGUUGAGGAGAUGGAAGAUAUAGGUGAAAAAUACUUUGAUGAUCUUGUCUCCAGGUCAUUUUUCCGGCAAUCACUUUAUGCUCCAUCAUAUUUCAGCAUGCAUGACAUCAUAAGUGAUUUAGUUGAAUACGUGUCAGGAGAAUUUUGCUUUAAGCUUGGUAUUAAUGAAUCGGGAUCUGGGUUGGAGGGUGAACAUUCAUGCUCGCUUCCAGAAAGGACUCGUUAUUUAUCAAUCACUUCAGCGGCAGUUCGGACAUUUCGUAGCAUUCAUGGAGUCCAACAUUUGCGCGCCUUGUUUCCACUAUAUAUUUUCGGGGAAGAUGAUAGUGAGGCACUGAAUGACAUCUGGCUAAAUCUUAAGCGCUUGCGAAGGCUAUCUUUAUGUCAUCUAAAAGAUAUUUCUUCUCAGUUGCUCAAUUCCAUUGGCAACUUAAAACAUUUGCGGCACUUGGACCUUUCUCGCACCGCCAUUAAAAGGUUACCUAAAAGUGUGUGCACUUUGUACUAUUUGCAAAGCUUAUUGUUAAAGAAGAGCCGACAUCUCAUGCAGUUGCCAUCCAACCUUUUCAACUUGGUCGCCUUACAACAUCUUGAUAUUGAGGGGACAAAUCUGAAAAAGAUGCCACCGAAAAUGGGGAAACUCACAAGGCUUCGAACUUUGCAAUAUUACGUAGUGGGAAAAGAGAGGGGGUCUAGCAUGAAAGAGCUGGGGAAGCUCUCACAUUUAAGGAAAAAACUUUCUAUUCGGAAUCUCAGAGAUGUUGCAAAUGCUCAAGAUGCUUUGGAUGCCAAUUUGAAGGGUAAGAAGAAGAUUGAGGAGUUGAGGUUGAUAUGGGAUGGCAAUACAGAUGACACCCAACAGGAGAGAGAAGUACUUGAGAAAUUGGAGCCUUCUGAAAUUGUGAAACAGCUUGCCAUUAAGGGUUACGGGGGUACAAUGUUUCCAGACUGGCUUGGAAACUCUUCUUUCUUAAAUAUGGUAGCGUUGACUCUUUCUGGAUGUAAGAACUGCAUCUCCUUACCACCAUUGGGGCAGCUGCCAUCUCUUGAAGAGCUCCAUAUUGAAGGAUUUGAUGAUGUCGUGGCAGUUAGUUCUGAGUUCUAUGGAAGCGACCCUUCGAUGGAGAAGCCAUUUAAAUCCCUCAAAAUAUUAAAGUUUGAGGGGAUGCGAAACUGGCAGGAAUGGAAAACAGAUGUAGCUGGUGCUUUCCCUCAUCUUGCAAAUCUCUUGAUAGCAGGUUGUCCCGAGUUAACAAAUGGCUUGCCUAAUUACCUUCCUUCUUUAUUGAUACUUGAGAUUCAAGCGUGUCCACAGCUUGUGGUUUCAAUUCCAGAGGCUCCCCUGCUCACCGAAAUCAAUGUAAAAGUCACUAAAACUUUCAUCCCCUCUCACCGCUGGAAUGCACUAAGCGAUGAAGAUUGCUAGCAGGUUCUUCUUGCAAGGUAUGCAUUUUAGGGAGAGGAUAUCCAAUAGCAGUAUGUUACUAAAAAAAUAUUUUUAAACUGUAUAUAUAUAUUUUUUAAAAUACACUAGGUAUAUUAAGUUUGUAAAGCAAUGGGAGGAGAUAUAUUAAGUUACUAAAACAAGGUGUUUAUCAUUUUGUUUGGUUGUCCAUAAGGUUUUGUUACGCAACUAUAUAAAAAUAAAAAUCAUAAUUUGUCGACAUUACGGCACAGAAUUGUGAAAUUCAUCCUCUCUUGCCAUCGAAACCUGAGAGUGUUUUGACUUUUGGAGUGGAGGGCAGAAAUAAAAUUGUAGUUAUAUUAAGUUAUAAAAAAAAUAGUUUUAAACUGUAUUUAAAAAAAAUACAUUAGGUAUAUUAAGUUACUAAAUUUUUUUAUUAAACUGUAUUUUUUUUUAAAAUACAUUAGGUAUAUUAAGUUUGUCAAGCAAUGAGAGAAGAUAUAUUAAGUUACUAAAAAAAUAUGUUUAUCACUUUAUUUUUAUUUCUCGUAAAAGUCGGUUACGCAAUCGAAUCGGGGAUGAUUGGUUGAAUGAUUGUUUGGUUACUUAUAUCGAAAAAAAUAUAUUUGAAAGUGUUGAUAAUGGAAAGAUUCUAUAACGUUUUCAGCAUAUGAAGUCUUGCAGGGAUUUCACGGAGCAUCUUUUUAUAAUAUAUGUGAAUUUUUAAAUUUUAUAUUAGAAGCUUAAAAUUUUUAGAUUUUUUAGAUCUUAAUUAAUUUAGUUAUAUUAUUUUGCUAUCUAUGAAAACUCGAUCUGGAUCCGUCCUUUAUCAAAUGAAGUAUAUAUCAUGUUGAAACCGGUAAUGAGUUUCGAUUGAUAGAAGAAUCAGGAAAAAAAAAUUAAAAUAGAUGUGCUUUGAGAGUGAUAAAAUAAUUUCAAGGAAUCAUAGUAAAAUAACUUAUAUGGUUCUAGCAAUAUUGAAAAAGAAAAUUUGGAUUUAGACAUAAAAUUAUAUAUUGACUAGUUUUACGCUAUUGAGCAUGACUCUCAAUUCGAUCUUUCGAUUGAGUUGAAAGUCCACAAGAAGACUUCUGAUAUAUUGCUCUAUCUUGGGUUAAAAGUUUAGGGUAGGCCAUCAUAGAAUAUCAACAGUCGAACUAAAAAUAACAUGUAGAUUCAUUAAUGAUAUUUUCAUAAAUAAGCUAGAAAAACUAAAAAUUUAGUUUCUUCUUCCCCUCUAAACUACCGGCUAGUGCUAAAACAACUAUAAUAGAAAAAACAAAUUGAGAGCUUACUCAUUGGAACCCUUGAAUCAAGAUUUAAGGCAAGAUAGGUGAGGGAAUAAAUAUUAAACACAUCUCGACUAAGUGCCAUCCUAUAAAUUUGUUUUCAAUUUGCAUUUGAUGAAAAAUAUACAAGGAAUCAUAAAUGAAUUAACUUAAGCAUUGCGAAGGAAAUAUCAAGAUAUCAUAAAUGUGUUGACAAGUUAAAAAGUUUUGAAACAACAAAUUUAAAUGAUAAGGGAUGAAGGAUGAAAAUAUUUAGUUGAUGAGAUUUUUUUUUGGUGUGAAAGACAUAGCAUUGAUAUUUCAAAAAUAAAUGAUGUGUUUGUCAUUUGCAGCCGAUCAAGGUGUAAUACCCAACAAUUAAUAAACUUGUAUCAUUAACAGGCCGAGCUGUUCUAUACAACAAUUGACAUGCAACUUCACGAGCUUAACAAUUGUUUUAUCAAGAUACACAUGGAGUUGCUUCCUUGCAUUGCAUGUUUGAAACUCAAUCUCUAUAAUAUUAUAAAUAGGUUAGCAUUGCAAUAACAAAAAAAAAAUAUGAUAACCAUGACAAUAAUAAUAAUAAUAAUAUGAAUAUGUAUAUUUUUAUUAGUUGAUGGAUCAAUUUGAAAGCAUCAAAGUACUUUUUUGUAAAAAUAAACUAAUAAAUGGUACACCCGAGGCAAAAUUAUAGCCAAUAUAGCUUGUUGGCCAAGGGAAAGUGUCACGGGGGUAUUUUUCGCUACGCGAAUAAACCCGUGCGGCAGCCUAGUCCUUCGCUAGACUCAGCCUUCCCUCACCAAUCUCACUCGUGUUUGCCUAAUAACUAAGCAAGCGGAAUACACAAGCAAGGAUAAGAAUCAUAGUGCACAACAAGCUUUACAGGAACUCUUUCCCAACCUUUAUUAAUCUCAUACACAAAGGAAACUAUACACAAAUCCGUAUGUGUGCUAUGCACAAAGAUUACAUGCUACACUAAGCUACCUCUAACUAGUGUUCUACACAUGUUCUUGCAUGCCCCUACAUGCUGGACAUUCCCAACCGAAUGCCCUUACAAUCUGAACAUUCCCACCUGAAUGCUCUCCCACAACCAAGAGCUACAUCUUGUAUUUAUAGACAAGCAAAGGAGCUGCAAAGGCUCCUCCCCAUUAUCCCCCAUUUUCAGGACCUAGUGGAGCACUACCUCUCUCCCAUGAUCCCAUGUUUUCAGGACAUGGUGGAGCACUACCUCUCACCCAUGAUCCCAUGUUCUGCCUCCCAUGAAGCUGCCACUCUCCUUAUUUUCUGGCUGUCUACUUGGCAGCCCCAGCUGCCAGCUUCUGCUGCGUCAGCUGCUGACUUAGAAGGUCCAUCAUCUAAGCCCCCACGUCCAUGUCAAGUCGCAAGCUCAAAGACUCGCAUAGACCAUUGCAUGCUGCCUGCCGAAUUCAUCUCUGCCUAUGCAAGGCUGCCGCGAUCCAUCGCUGCCGAAUUCUAAGCAGAGUGCCUUCGUUGGCGCGUCCCAGCGCCUAGAGCUCUUAGCCCAUGCCUUGGACAGUCCUUCGCCCAAGUUUUAGAUCGUGCCAAGUCGAGCCCCUGACUUGCACAAGUUUGCUGCGCGCUGCCGAGUCCGCAUCUGCAGGCAAGCUGCCAAUGCGCUGCCGAAUUCGCAUAUGCGUGCUGCCAAUCUCUGCGCUGCCGAAUUCGCAUCUGCGUGCAGGCUGCCCCUGUCUACGCUGCCGAAUUCUGCGAUAGUCCCAAUUCUCGUCAGCCUAUCCUCCUGACGAGGCUUGGACAGUCCCUCGUCCAGCCCAUGUUCGUCAACAAUCUGCGCUGCCGAUUUUCCCUUUGACGAACCUACAGCCGCAUAAAUCUGCGCUGACGAUUUCUCCCACUGAUGGCAUGGCUGCCAGCACCCUUCGGCCUUGUUUUGGCCAGCCUGCCGAAGCGUGCACCUCGUGCACAUUUGACACUGUGACAGAAAGAGUCUUUUCGUUUGUAGUUUUGGAGUAGCAAAUAAUGGCUUAUGAUAAGCAAACGUUGAUUCAUCUUGCUUAAUUCUAUCUAUCUAUUUUCUUCAUAGUUGAGCUUGCAGCACUUAUAAUCAACUGGAAACUUAUAUUCUUGACAUGAGAUCCUGUGAAGAAUUUCCAAAGCUAAAAGAAAUCAAUUAUUCUGCUAAAAAAUUGGUAAAGACAAACUAUUUCAUUAGAAAAUAAAAUAUUUUCAGCGAUGAAAUUGAUUAAAAAUUGAUUACGCAAUCGAAUCAGAGAUGAUUAAUUAAAUGAUUGUUUGAUUAUGAUUACUUAUAUCGAAAAAGAUAUAUUGAGAAGUGAUAAUAAUAAGAAAAUCCUAUAUUUCAACAUAUAAAAUCUUGCAAGGAACAAUUAUAAAUUAUAUAAAAAAGAAUUUCAUGAAUCAUCUUUAUAUAUAUAUAUAUUACAAAUUUAUAAUUUUAAGAUUUUUUAAAUCUUAAUUAAUUUAAUUAUAUACUUAUAUUAUUUUAUACGUUAAAACUGGAGUCCAUCCUUCAUCUUAAUGGCAUAGAUGAAAUAUCUUAUUUAUGCCCAUUUGAAGAUAAUUAAUCCAGACUUAAUCCACUUGAUGAUGCCUUAAUCAUGCUGAUAAAAAAAGAUUAAUACAUUAAGCACAAGUGUUGAUAUAAUCAGUGGCAGAGCCCCGGGGCUGGCAGGACCCGGCCUUGUAAGAAAAUGUUCUUGUCAAUAUUUUUUUAAUAAUAUUUAUAGUUUCAGCUCAAAUAAUAAAAUAACUGAAAUCUUUGCCUUCUAAAAUAUUUUUUUUAAUUUUAUUUUGUGACCCAGCCCUAAAUAUAAUAUAAAUAAUUUAAUAUUGUUAGGAAGUUUUAAACCGGCUUCCAUGAAUUUAAUAUUGCCUAUCAUUUCAGCGUGUCCCGAGGUGAAAACAUUUGGCCUUUUUUUUUAAUUACUGAAAACUUAACAUGUCAUGUGCUAAAUUCUUUUUUUUAUUAUUUACGUGGGGUGUCCGGGCCAGCUUACGCGCACCACGACUAUUCCCCACAGCCCGCUGGACAUCCUGCAAGCCCAGGAGCAGGUAAGGCACCGCGGAGGUGACAGGCGUGCACAUAGAGGGUCGAACCCGGGACGGGAGCGGAACAAGUCACACGAUUGACCACAACAGCUAGACCCUCAAGUGCAUCAUGUGCUAAAUUCUUGAAGAACCCAGUGAAUGCCAAAAUUAAAGAUUCAUUUUGAAAAUUAAUUUGAAAUAAAAAUGAAAAAAUAUAAUUUUUUUUCAAAAAUACUUUUACAUCCAGAAACAAAAAUGACCUUAUGUAAGGGACAUGCACGUAUCCACUUAGAUAUAAAACCCCAGCCAAGAAACCAAAGAAGAGAAGUAGAGAACGGUAGCUCAGGGGAGCGUUUGGCAUGGAAAAAUGAAAGGGCACGGUCGUAUAUAUUCUUUGGAUUUCCACAUUGGUAAUAUAUACAUGAAUUUGUUUUUAUAUUAAGAAUUAUGUUUUAUGAUUGUUUUAAAUAAAAUUUGCUUUAAAUUAAUAUUGUUUUAGUAUUGUUAAAUUAUUUUAAUGUAAUAAUAUAAAAAAUAAUUUUUUAUUUUUUUAAAUAAAAAAUAAUUAUUACCAUACUCACCAUCAAAACUUAACAAGUACGGUAGGUAUGCAUCAAAGAAAAACCAAAGGACGGUAGGUAUGCAUCAAUGCCAUAAAUAGAGUUUGUCUUGUUCAGAAGACUUUGAAAGUGGCUUCGUUGACUCUGCAGACACGAAGAAUAGUCAAAAGUCCUAAAAUUAACUCAUCUUUGCUAUCCACGGCGGCGCAUCAUUAGUGGGUUUGGAAAUUAACAUGGUGCUUCCGAUGAGCCAAGCUAUGUGUUCACAGUGAUUAAUUCGAAUGUGUAAGCAAUAUCGUUGCUAUCACCAUUUGCUUUGAAGGGCUAUUUAAAAAUAUAAUAGUAGUUAUUUCUUUAAAAUAUAUAUUAAAUAUAUAUAUUUUUUUAUUUUUUAAAAAUUAUUUUUGAUAUUAAUACAUCAAAUCAAAACAAAACAAAAAAUAUAAAAAAAUUAAUAUAAAAAAUUUAAUUUUAAAAAAACAUGAUUUUAAAUGCGAUCCCAUACAAUAGAUUAGAUAGAAAAAAAAAGGAAACUGGAAAAAAAACAUUAAUUAAAAUGAUAAAUAGAUAUAAAUAAAUUAUUUUUUCUUCAAAUUAGAAUCGUUAUUUUCUAUACACUAUUGUCGCUAAAAUUAUAAAAUCAUUUUAUAAUUUAUAAUCAUUUUCUAUAUAUUAUUGUUGCUUUUUUUCAUAUAUAUAUAUAUAUAUAAUCCUCACUAUGAAAUUCUGAAAGAGAGAACGGCGGCUAAAAGCAACAACAUUUUAGCUAGAUAAAUAAAGUUUAAUGACUUGAUAUGUUCUUAUAUUAUAAAAUAUUUCUUUGAUCUAUUUCUAUAUAUCUAAUUAAGUUAAUUUUAUUCUUUAAUAUAUAUUAAAUUUAUAAUUUAUCAUUCUUCUCAUGUAAACUCACUCCAAUUUGUCAUGUGUCUGUUACAUGCAAAACUAGAAGAUUAUAUUUAAAAUUUAACAUAUAUUUUAAAUAAAAUUGACUUAAAUAAAGAUAUAAUAGGUCAAUGAUAGAUAAAUAGCCCACUAUCGAAGGAUAUACUACGUUACUAAAAAAAAACCUGUUUAUCAAUUUGUGUGGUUGUCCACUAGGUUUUGUUCUCUCCAUUGAUAUUAAUUAUCAUCAGUAUCUGAAUGGCAUAGCAUAGGUUAAAAACUUAUUAUUAAUAUUUUAUGGAUGUACACAAGAAGAUAAUUAAUCCAUAAUAAUUUUUACGGUUUAACUGUCUAUAUAUUUUUAAAUUUUAUUAUUCGAUUAACAAAUUUAUUUAUACAUACCGCUUCCACGAGUUUUCUUGUCUCUUCCUUUCCUUUAAAGUCCCCGAAUUCCCAUCAUGGCUUAUUAGCUUUCUACUACUAUCAUUCUCUCUCUCACCCUUUCGCAAAAAUCGACAACUUCAUGACUCAGAAAUCUUGACCCCAUCUCCUAACAAUUCAUAGACAGGUAGGGUUCAGCAUUGCACCAUUCUUUUCAAGAACUGGUGGGAUGUCACAGAUUUCAAAUAGAUGGUAGGAAUGGACCUCUCGAUGAUAAGUAGGGCCCAAAUUGCCGCCCAAAGGCCAUUGUAGAUUCACGUUCAGAGAACAUCAGAUGCGAUGCUUAGCCGACAGUAGAGAAGAAUGAUUACUUCUGAAGAGAAUAUCAUUACAAAAUGAUCCCCGGCAAACAGUCAGGGAUGCCAGCACGGCCGGCUUACAUUGUUAAGCUUGUAACAAUCUAUAAUCAACUCGAAACUUAUAUUCUUAACCUGAGAUCUUGUGAAGAAUUUCCAAAGAUAAAAAGGAAUCAAUGAUCUUGCUCAGAAAUUAGUGGAGGCCAAGAAGGUUGUGGUUAGUAAUUUUACCUCGUGUGAAUAUAAUAUAAAUAAUUUAAUAUUGUUAGGAAGUUUAAAACCGGCUUCCAUGAAUCUUCUUGUCUUUUCUUUUCCUUUAAAAGUCUAUAUGGUUGUUCUCUUAAUGCAAUUCAUUGGAUUCUGCUUUCUACGGCCUUCUCUCUCACACCGUCCGCGAAGAUCCACCAUGGCUUCUGCUAUUGUCCUUUUUUUUUCUCUCCCGUCCUUUUGAUACUGUCGUCCUUCCGCAAAAAUCCACCAUGGCUCUGGGGUUGAGUAGAGGUUAAUUAUCUGUGCUGUCAUUGAGGUUUUGGUCGACAGGCUGUCCUCUCCUGAGGUUCUAGGCUUUUUCAAAAGACAAGCUCAAUCAAUGGAAAAGUUGAAGUUAAACAUUAAAUUAUUCUCCUUUUUUAUUUUUUUUCACAAGUAUUUAACCGUUCAAUUUGUAAGAACAUCAGUCUUUUUUAUAAGCCAACAAUUACACUUUUUAAAUUUGCUAUUAUAAUAAUUAUUUAUUUAUGUGAUAAUUUCACCAAUGUUUUUUUGGCCUUGUACCAAAUACCUUCUAAGAGUAAUACCAGAUGAAAUUUUUUAAAAUAUUUUUGAACCUCAUAGUUUCAUAUAUCUAUAUUUUAACCGUUAACUUCAUUUCUCACACGUUUCACUCUUUGACUAUUGAGUUUUGAUCCUUGCAAUUCUCAUAAAAGUACAUUUUGGUUCCUUAAGUUUUUAUUUUUAUUUUUGAUCCUUAUAAUUUCAGGUAUUUAUAUUUAAUUCUAAAAUUUUAUUUUCCUUACAUUUCAAUUCCUUUAUGUUGCGAUUAUAGAGAGAAAGUCGCUAGAAAAAAGAGAGGAAAGAGAAGUAUUUUGGUGAGUUGUAUUUCAAGAACAAAAAAUGUUGAUUUUGGAGAGUUGUAUUUUGAAUGAAACAGACCCAACCAAGGCCCCGAGUUACCCGGGUCCUGGGUUGACCCGUCAAGCGGGGCUGAGUUUGAUAACUAUGAUAACAACCAUGUCAGACCCAAGAUGUUAGGUAUAUCCUUGGAUCUAACGGCCAUAUCAGACCCAAUAGCCUUGGAUCUUACAUGACUACCAGACCUAGGGUCUGGUGAUUGGGUCUCGCAAUCAUGCCAGACCCCAACAUCUUGGACCUGGCUGCCAUGACUAAACUGAAAAAAAAAAAACAAAAUUUUGCAUAGUAACAAAUACAUAGUGAAAAUCCAACGUAUUUUAGUAUAUAAGUAAUAAAUUUAAUAAUUAACAUAUAAUGCAUGAUAAAAUUAGCAUUAAUUUUACCAGUGGCUACUGCAACAAUAAAGAAAAUAUUUUUAGCAUUCAAAUUGGUUAAAAAUCGAUUACAUGAUCAAAUUAGGGGUGAUUUGUUGAAUGAUUGUGUGGUUACUUAUAUCAAUAAAGAUAUAUUUAAAAGUGUUGAUAAUGAAAAGAUCCUACAAUGUUUUCACUAUAUGAAGUCUUGCAAUGAGCGAUUGUGAAUUUUAUAUAUAUAUAUAUAUGCAAUAUAUAUAUAUAUAUAUAUAUAUAUAUAUAUAUAUAGAAUUUUAUGAAAUAUCUUUUUAUAAUAUAUGUAAAUUUUUUAACUUUAUAUUAAAAAAUUAUAAUUUUUGGAUUUUUUAGAUCUUAAUUAAUUAAUGGAAAAGUUGAAGUUAAUUAUUAAAUUAUUCUCUCUUUUUUUCACAACUAUUUAACUAUUUAAUUUGUAAAUACAUCAGUCAUUUUAAAAAACCAACAUUUACACUUUUUAAAUUUGCUCUUAUAAUAAUAAUAAUUAUUUAUGUGAUAAUUUCAACCAUAUUUUUAAGCCUUAUACCAAAUACCUUCUAAGAGUAAUACCAAAUGAAGUUUUUUUUAACAAAACAUAUUUUUGAACCUAGUAGUUUUAUGUGUUUACAUUUUAACCGUAAACUUCAUUUCCCACUCGUUUCACUAUCUGAAUAUUGAGUUUUGGUCCUUGAAAUUCUCAUAAAAGUUCAUUUGGGUUCCUAAAAUUUUUUCUUUUAUCCUCGUAGUUUUAGCUAUUUAUUUAAUUCUAAAACUUUAUUUUCCUCACAUUUUAAUUCCUUGAUGUUACGAGUAUAAAGAGAAAGUCGUUAGAUAAAAAGAAAAGUAUUUUGGUGAGUUGUAUUUCAAGAACAAAAAAUACUGAUCUUAGUGUCCAUAAAUUUUUCUUUAAACACAUAACAAAAAAAAUUAAUAUUUUUUAAAAGUGGCCCUAAACAAAAUAAAAAAGAGGAGGUUUUAUCUAUUUUUUUGGUUUUUUAACCAGUCACAUUACUUUAUUUCUUUUCAAUUGCAUUCUUUAAAGCUAUAUUUUCAUGGCAACCAUAGCUAUCAAACCCAGCCUAGGAGUUAACCCGACUAAUGGGCUAAGUCCUGGUUUACACGAGUUGACUCGGGUCAACCAAGAAAAAUUUUAAAAAAAUAUUUGAGAUUUUAAUAUUUUAUAUGAAAAAAUAAGAAAUAAUCCAUAUGGAUAUAUGCUAUACAUGUUGUAAACAAUUAAAUUUAAAAGAUUAUUUCAAAAUGUUUUUUAUUCCACAUUGAAAAGAUACUAUCUUAUUCUUUUAAGUUAAAGUAUUUAAAUAAAAAAGGUUUUCUAUCCUACAUUGAAUAACCAUUAACUUUUUUAUUGUGAAUAUAGAAUAAAUAUAUAGACACAUACACACACUAAAAGACUUCAAAUUUUACAUUACAAAAAUAAAAUAUUUUUCUAAUAUUUAUAUACUGAACUUGAAAUGAGUUAGAAAAAAACUGAAAAUAUAUAAAAAAAAUCUCUAAAUAAAAGAAAAACACAUUUAAUAAAAACAGAAUCUCUAUCAAGUUUUUAUUGGGCCACCCGAGUUCCAGGUUUACCCAACAUGUUAACCAGUUUACUCCAGGCCACUUACACGUCCAAAUAUUGAAUGAAACAGACCACCAAGGCUUAUCAUUCUCUCUCACAUAAUCACUCUAUCACCCUUUCGCAAAAAUCCACCAAGGCUCCUGCUUUCCACUACUCCUUUUCUCUCACAUAUUCCGACCCUCACCCCUUCUGCAAAAAUCCACCAUGGCUCUGGAGUUGAUCGGAGGAUCAAUUCUCUCUGCUCUCGUUGAGGUACUGGUCGACAGGUUGGCCUCUCGUGAGGUUCUGGACUCCUUCAAAAGCCACAAACUCGAUGAUGGUCUUCUGGAAAAGCUGAAUGAAACACUGAAUACUGUCAACGGACUACUCGACGAUGCGGAGGAGAAGCAGAUUACAAAGCGUGCUGUGAAGAACUGGCUUAAUGAUGUUAAACACGCUGUGUAUGAAGCUGAGGACAUAUUGGAUGAGAUUAAUUAUGAAUAUCUACGAUCCAAGGACAUUGAUACCCCUCGACCUGACAGCAAUUGGGUAAGCAUAAGUUCUUGCACCUAUAGACCUUGCUUCCUCAUAAAAUGUUUUUUUUUUUUUUUUAACUUUCAUGUAUGCUCUCAAGUCUGUAAACGAGGAAAAAAUAAUUUUAGGGAUGGUUGUUGUCUUUCUGUGAGUUUUAAUUAAAGAGUAUUCAUUGUUAUGCAUGCAACUAAUAUCAUUGGCUUUUGGUGUCUAUGGCGUAAUUAUGCUUGCAAAUUCUCAUUUAUUAAUUAGUUUUCUAGACAUUUAAUCACUAUCUUUUUAAAACUUGAAUUUUACUGCGUGCAUUAAGUUAGCAUCAACAAUUGUAAAUUCUUGAAAAAGAUCUGUAGAAAGAAAACUUAUUAAUUCUCUAGAUGUAAAAAUCUUAAUGUUUAUGUUUUGAUAUUAAAAAAUUAUAAUGUUAUCCUGAAUUCUAUCUCAUAUAUUUAGUCCACCAUUGCAGGCAAGGAAUCUGGUUCCAUUUCUAAAUCCAGCUAAUAGAAGGAUGAAAGAGAUUGGAGCAGAGUUACAAAAGAUCUAUGAGAAGCUUGAACGUUUACUUAAACACAAGGGUGAUCUGCGCCACAUAGAAGGUACUGGUGGAUGGAGACCAUUGUCAGAGAAAACAACUCCACUGGUUAAUGAACCUGAUGUAUAUGGAAGGGACGCUGAUAAGGAAGCCAUAAUGGAGCACUUGCUGACACAACACAAGACAGAUGGCCCAAAUUUAGUUGUGGUUCCUAUUGUGGGCAUGGGCGGGAUUGGUAAAACCACUCUUGCUCAGCUUAUCUACAACGACGAAAAGGUAGAUCAGUUCUUCCAACUCAAGGCCUGGGUCUGGGCUUCUCAACAAUUUGACGUCACCAGGAUUAUUGAGGAUAUUAUUAAGAAGAUCAAAGCAAGGACUUGCCCCACCAAAGAACCAGAUGAAUCCAAAGAACCAAAUGAAUCUCUAAUGGAGGCAGUGAAAGGGAAAAAACUUCUACUUGUUCUAGAUGACGCGUGGAACAUCGAGUACAAUGAAUGGGAUAAAUUACUGCUACCUUUGCGGUAUGUGGAGCACGGAAGUAAGAUUGUCGUGACAACACGGGAAGAAGAUGUAGCAAAAGUCACGCAGACUGUCAUCCCCUCUCACCGCUUGAAUGUAAUAAGCGAUGAAGAUUGCUGGAAGUUGUUUGCAAGGGAUGCAUUUAGUGGUGUAAAUUCUGGAGCAGUCUCACACUUGGAAGAAUUUGGCAGAGUAAUAGUGAGAAAGUGCAAAGGUUUACCGCUGGCAGCGAAAACUCUUGGGGGUCUUUUGCACUCCGUAGGAGAUGUCAAGCAAUGGGAGAAGAUAUCCAAUAGCAGUAUGUGGGGUUCGUCGAAUGAAAACAUCCCUCCAGCUCUAACAUUGAGCUAUUAUUAUCUCCCUUCACACCUGAAACGUUGUUUUGCUUAUUGUGCAAUAUUUCCCAAGGAUUAUGUAUUCAAGAAGGAUAGAUUAAUCACUGAAUGGAUGGCACAUGGUUUUCUAGUCCAGCCCAGAGGCGUUGAGGAGAUGGAAGAUAUAGGUGAAAAAUACUUUAAUGAUCUUGUCUCCAGGUCACUUUUCCAGCAAUCCACUGGUGAUUCUUUUUUCAGCAUGCAUGACCUCAUAAGUGAUUUAGCUGAAUACGUGUCAGGAGAAUUUUGCUUCAAGCUUGGUAUUAAUGAAUCGGGCUCUGGGUUGGAGAGUGAACAUUCAUGCUCGCUUCCAGAAAGGACUCGUUAUUUAUCAAUCACUUCAGCGGCAGCAUAUGGCGGAGGACUUCGGAUUUUUCGUAGCAUUCAUGGAGUCCAACAUUUGCGCGCCUUGUUUCCACUGAAGUUUUUUGUGGAAGUUGAUAUUGAGGCACUGAAUGACAUUUUGCCAAAUCUUAAGCGCUUGCGAAUGCUAUCUUUAUGUCAUCCAAAAGAUAUUUCUUCUCAGUUGCUCAAUUCCAUUGGCAACUUAAAACAUUUGCGGCACUUGGACCUUUCUCAGACAGUAUUUAAACGGUUGCCCGAAAGUGUGUGCACCUUGUACUAUUUGCAAAGCUUAUUGUUAAAGGAGUGCCGACUUCUCAUGGAGUUGCCAUCCAACCUUUCCAACUUGGUCGACUUACAACAUCUUGAUAUUGAAGGGACAAAUUUGAAAGAGAUGCCACCAAAAAUGGGGAAACUCACGAAGCUUCGAAUUUUGGAAUCUUACAUCGUGGGAAAAGAUAGCGGGUCUAGCAUGAAAGAGUUGGGGAAGCUCUCACACAUAAGGAAAAAACUUUCUAUUCGGAAUCUCAGAGAUGUUGCAAAUGCUCAAGAUGCUUUGGAUGCCAAUUUGAAGGGUAAGAAGAAGAUUGAGGAGUUGGGGUUGACGUGGGAUGGCAGUACGGAUGACACACCACACGAGAGAGAUGUACUUGAGAAAUUGGAGCCUUCUGAAGAUGUGAAAGAGCUUGCCAUUAUUGGUUACGGGGGUACAACGUUUCCAGGCUGGCUUGGAAACUCUUCUUUCUCAAAUAUGGUAACGUUGCUUCUUUCUGGAUGUACGAACUGCAUCCUCUUACCACCAUUGGGGCAGCUGCCAUCUCUAGAAGAGCUCGAAAUUGAAGGAUUUGAUGAAGUCGUGGCAGUUGGUUCUGAGUUCUAUGGAAGUGACCCUCCAAUGGAGAAGCCAUUUAAAUCCCUCAUAACAUUAAAGUUUGAGGGGAUGAAGAAAUGGCAGGAAUGGAAUACAGAUGUAGCUGGUGCUUUCCCUCAUCUUGAAAAUCUCUUGAUAGCAGGUUGUCCAGAGUUAACAAAUGGCUUGCCUAAUCACCUUCCUUCUUUAUUGAUACUUGAGAUUCGAGCGUGUCCGCAGCUUGUGGUUUCAAUUCCAGAGGCUCCCCUGCUCAGAGAAAUCAAUGUAUCUGAGGGAGAUGAAAGUCGUAUAACUGGUCGUACGUCGUCCUAUUAUUGCUACUACUUACCAGAUCAACCACCCAAGUGCCUUCAUUUUAGACGAGAUCCCCAGCUAACGGGAAUGGAGCAAAUGAGUCAUUUGGAUCCCCGUCUUUUCACUGAUAUCAAAAUCGAGGAAUGUAGUUCAUUUAAGUGCUGCCAGCUAGACCUUUUACCCCAGGUCACCACACUUACCAUUGAACAUUGUCUCAAUCUGGAAUCCCUAUGUAUAGGCGAGAGACCUGUCCCUGCUCUCUGUCGUCUGACAAUCAGUCACUGUCCUAAUUUGGUGUCUUUCCCCAAAGGAGGACUAGCUGCCCCGGAUUUGACAAGCCUUGUGUUAGAGGGUUGCUUAUAUUUGAAGUCGUUGCCGGAAAACAUGCGUUCCCUCCUACCUUCCCUACAGGAUUUGCAAUUGAUCUCACUUCCAGAAGUUGAUUCGUUUCCUGAAGGAGGUUUACCCUCCAAUUUAAACACACUUUGCAUUGAAGAUUGUAUCAAACUCAAGGUAUGUGGUUUGCAAGCACUCUCUUCUCUUUCAUACUUCGAAUUUAGUGGGAACGAUGUGGAGUCUUUUGACGAGGAGACGUUGCCCUCUACUCUCACAACCCUUAAAAUCAAACGUCUGGGAAACCUGAAGUCUCUGGACUAUAAGGGGCUUCAUCACCUCACCUCUCUUCAGGGAUUGGGUAUCGAGGGUUGCCCUAAGCUUGAGUCCAUAUCAGAGCAGGCGCUUCCCUCCUCCCUUGAAUACCUUUAUCUCAGAAAUCUAGAAUCUCUGGACUACGUGGGGCUUCAUCACCUCACCUCUCUUGACACAUUGAAGAUCAAGAGUUGCCCUAAACUUGAGUUCGUAUCAGAACAGGUGCUGCCCUCCUCCCUUGAAUACCAGGGGCUUCAUCACCUCACCUCUCUUAGAAAUUUGAGUAUCGAGAGUUACCCUAAACUUGAGCACAUAUCAGAACAGGGGCUGCCCUCCUCCCUUGAAUGCCUUCAUCUCUGUAAACUGGAAUCUUUGGACUACAUUGGGCUUCAGCACCUCACCUCUCUUCACAAAAUGAAGAUCGGGAGUUGUCCUAAACUUGAAUCGUUGCAGGGGCUGCCUUCCUCCCUUGAAUUCCUUCAGUUAUGGGAUCAGCAAGACCGGGACUAUAAGGAACUUCGGCACCUCACCUCUCUUCGCAAAAUGAAUAUAAGAAGGAGCCUUAAGCUUGAGUACCUUCAAGAAGGCACACUUCCCUCCUCCCUUAAAGACCUUGAAAUCCAGGAUUUGGAAGAUCUGGAUUAUAAGGGGUUUCGGCACCUCAGCUCUCUUCGUAAAUUACAUAUCUGUAAUUCUCCUAAGCUCGAGUUCGUGCCAGGAGAGGAGCUGCCCUCCUCCCUUGUAUCUCUUAAAAUAUCAGGUCUGAUAAAUCUGAAAUCUGUAAUGAGGCUUCAGCACCUCACCUCUCUUCGCAAAUUGAUUAUCCGGGAUUGUCCUAAGCUUGAGUACUUGCCAACAGAAGAGCUGUCCUUACCCCUAGUUCCUGAUAUUAGUGGUUGUCCUUUUGUAGAACCGAGUUGUUGCAUUAGUUAGACCAUGUAUCUUACCCGCG
This 33270-nucleotide long non-coding RNA is filed under the name Populus trichocarpa (black cottonwood). Its description in RNAcentral is "long non-coding RNA (PTRI_LNC003739)". Lineage: Eukaryota; Viridiplantae; Streptophyta; Magnoliopsida; Malpighiales; Salicaceae. The record is from RNAcentral.